UACGUAGGGGGCUAGCGUUGUCCGGAAUCAUUGGGCGUAAAGAGCGUGUAGGCGGCCCGGUAAGUCCGCUGUGAAAGUCGGGGGCUCAACCCUCGAAUGCCGGUGGAUACUGUCGGGCUAGAGUGCGGAAGAGGCGAGUGGAAUUCCUGGUGUAGCGGUGAAAUGCGCAGAUAUCAGGAGGAACACCGAUUGCGAAGGCAGCACUCUGGGACGUGACUGACGCUGAGACGCGAAAGCGUGGGGAGCAAACAGG
RNAcentral lists this ribosomal RNA (253 nucleotides) under uncultured bacterium. RNAcentral describes it as "partial 16S ribosomal RNA". It matches the Rfam family "Bacterial small subunit ribosomal RNA", at positions 524 to 776 of the family's 1533-position model. The record is from RNAcentral.